This 281-nucleotide long non-coding RNA is filed under the name Hordeum vulgare. Its description in RNAcentral is "long non-coding RNA (HVUL_LNC012037)". Lineage: Eukaryota; Viridiplantae; Streptophyta; Magnoliopsida; Poales; Poaceae. The record is from RNAcentral.
UUUUUAUUUUAUUUUUUUGCUUCAAUUAACUAACAUAUGGUUGAAUUCGCAUCUCCAACUCCAACCUAUUACCUUUAUUAAGUUUCCCACCAAAUUUUAUUAAGUGUCUCAUCUGUCAAGAUCAUCCAACAACUGUAAUGGCCUAGCUUCUCAAAAUUGUCCGUAACCGGGGACACGGCUAAUCAUGAUUAGUUUUUACACUUUGUAGAGGUUUUCACAUUGUACCCACUAGACCCAACCCGAAGGUUUAGACGAAGUCUUUCAGAAGCAGUCACCUCCAC